Molecule: ribosomal RNA, 511 nt
Filed under: Brucella intermedia M86
Lineage: Bacteria; Pseudomonadati; Pseudomonadota; Alphaproteobacteria; Hyphomicrobiales; Brucellaceae
Description: bacterial LSU rRNA
Rfam family: Bacterial large subunit ribosomal RNA
Source: RNAcentral
AGGCGAUGAAGGACGUGAUACGCUGCGAUAAGCGUCGGGGAGGUGCGAAUACCCUUUGAUCCGACGAUUUCCGAAUGGGGCAACCCACCUUUGAUGGCUAGAAAAUCUGAACCGUUCUUUGCGGAACGGCUCAAGUUUCUAGCUAUCGUAUAAAGGUAUCUAACUCUGAAUACAUAGGGGUUAGAAGCGAACCUGGGGAACUGAAACAUCUAAGUACCCAGAGGAAAGGACAUCAAACGAGACUCCGCUAGUAGUGGCGAGCGAACGCGGACCAGGCCAGUGGCUUUUGUGAAUGAAGUGGAACGAGUUGGAAAACUUGACCGAAGUGGGUGAUAGUCCCGUACACGUAGAAUAGCAGAAGUCCUUGAGUAGGGCGGGACACGUGAAAUCCUGUCUGAACAUGGGUCGACCACGAUCCAAGCCUAAGUACUCGUGCAUGACCGAUAGCGAACCAGUACCGUGAGGGAAAGGUAGAAAAGCACCCCGACGAGGGGAGUGAAACAGUACCUGA